GGAAUCUUCCACAAUGGGCGCAAGCCUGAUGGAGCAACGCCGCGUGAGUGAAGAAGGUCUUCGGAUCGUAAAAACUCUGUUGUUAGAGAAGAACACGAGUGAGAGUAACUGUUCAUUCGAUGACGGUAUCUAACCAGCAAGUCACGGCUAACUACGUGCCAG
RNAcentral lists this ribosomal RNA (162 nucleotides) under uncultured bacterium. Its description in RNAcentral is "partial 16S rRNA". It matches the Rfam family "Bacterial small subunit ribosomal RNA", at positions 358 to 511 of the family's 1533-position model. The record is from RNAcentral.